RNAcentral lists this ribosomal RNA (274 nucleotides) under uncultured bacterium. RNAcentral's name for it is "partial 16S ribosomal RNA". It matches the Rfam family "Bacterial small subunit ribosomal RNA", at positions 523 to 796 of the family's 1533-position model. The record is from RNAcentral.
AUACGGAGGGUGCAAGCGUUACUCGGAAUCACUGGGCGUAAAGGACGCGUAGGCGGGAAGCCAAGUCUGAUGUGAAAUCCUAUGGCUUAACCAUAGAACUGCAUUGGAAACUGGUUACCUAGAGUAUGGGAGGGGGAGAUGGAAUUAGUGGUGUAGGGGUAAAAUCCGUAGAUAUCACUAGGAAUACCGAAAGCGAAGGCGAUCUCCUGGAACAAUACUGACGCUAAGGCGUGAAAGCGUGGGGAGCAAACGGGAUUAGAAACCCUUGUAGUCC